CUUAUCAAGAGUGGCGGAGGAACAGGUCCUGUGAAGCCCGGCAACCUGAUUUAUUAAGGUGCUAAUUCCUGCGGAGCAAUCCGAAAGAUGAGG
Molecule: non-coding RNA, 93 nt
Filed under: pig gut metagenome
Description: SAM riboswitch (S box leader)
Rfam family: SAM riboswitch aptamer (S box leader)
About the family: The SAM riboswitch is found upstream of a number of genes which code for proteins involved in methionine or cysteine biosynthesis in Gram-positive bacteria.
Source: RNAcentral